AGUGCCAUUAAAGGGAAAUUGCAAGAAUUGAGAUCUUAUAUUGAUAAAAACUUCCUAAUUGCAUUGUGGUAAUGGUAUCAAACAAGAAAAGACAGAACCAAAUGACAGAAGAUCUGUCCCUAUUUCUAGGAAAUAAUAUAAUUUGAUUCAUCGUAUGGCUUCAUGGUAAACUACUCCCUGUUACAACAAAACCCUCUAGUCUAAAUUCUUCUGAUACCAACAUCUUUAAUAGUAACAUGCCUUCAAGCAAGAUCUCCCCAAGUUUCAGUUGGGGAGAUGGAAGAAGGAAUGAAGCUGCAGUGCUGCUCCUUGUCAUUUCUAGCACUAAACCUUAAAAAAAAAAAAAGAUUCCAGAGUCUUUUAAGUUCACAAAAGUAGAAAACCACUAAUGUAAGACAUAUUGUAAGGCUGGAACUACAAUUUGACUAGUGUCAACAGUGAAACCAUGCAGGAAGCCAGCAUCUUCGGAAGAUGUGAUUGAUGAUAAGCCAGAACCAGAUAAUCUCAUUGAAGAAGACCUCAAUUUUGUGCUGAGGAAUCACUUAUCUCAAAAAAAAAAAAAAAUCUAUAGCGACAUGUACAUAUGGGCCUUCUCACCCCUCUGUUGAAAUUUACUCAGUAUCUUCAAGUUAAAAUGCAGAUAGAGGUCCAUUGAAACAGGUAGUAAUUUCAACAACAGCAAAACAAUAUUCACGCUGCCAAGAGAGUUGAUAAAUAGAACAAAUACAUGAAAAGGAGAUGUUAGCCAGAAUUGCUUAACAGCUUAGAAAAGACUUAUAGUCCUUUCUUCAGAAACAGCUCAGAAAAAAAUGAGUGUUAAGGAAUAAAACUUCUUAAAAAGUUACUUCUGGUAAGUUCAGUUGUUAAAGUAAAAAAAAAUCAAUUAUAGAAUAAAAGGAGAAAGGUGUUGAUCAUGGCUCCUGAACAAGAAGCAUCUCCAACAGUGUGUGAGCGCUAGCAAAGCCUGAAGAGACCUUACUUUCCGUCUUCUAAACAAGCUACCAACAAUAUACUUUGAAUGGCUAUGUCUGAAGAAUAACAAUCUAGAAGCAAAAAUAACUGUUAGUCUGUUUGCAUUGCUAUAAAGUAGUACCUGAUACUGCAUUAAAAAAAAAAAGAAAGAAAAAAGAAAAAAAGGAUCCUAUUUUGACUUAUAUUUCUGCAGGCUGUACAGGAUGCAUAGUGCCAGCAUCUGCUUCUGGUGAGGGCCUCAAGAAGCGUAUAAUCAUAAUAGAAGGAGAAGGGGAAGCGGGCAUAUCACUUAGCAAGUGAGGGGCAGGGGAAACCCCAGCCUCUUUAAACAACCAGCUCUCACCUGAACUCAUUACUGCAAGUAAGGCACAAAACAAAAAACAGAUAAGUUUUUGGAGUAUUGCAAGUACUGGCCUACUUGUAGAUAUGGGGAUGAGUGUACUUACCAUCAUCUUGUUUCACCUUGGAAAGCCUUCCCUAAUUGUACAUUUCCUGAAAAAUGUUUGUUUGUUCACCAAAAUUGUAAAUACAUUGCAAACUGUACUAAACCAGAUUGUCCCUUUACUCACAUGGGGAGAAUUACAGUACUGCCUCCAAACCCAGUAGCUAUAAUGCCAGCACCACCUUCUAGUAGUCAGCUGUAUCACUACUUCCUGGCUUCUAAGGAAACUGAAUGUCACUUGUAUCAUCCAAAACACUGUCGAUUUAACAUUCAGUGUACAAAGCCAGGCUGUGCAUUCUAUCACCCCAUUGUUACUGUACUGCCACUACAUACCUUGGAAUGAAUUCUACCUCAAACCAGCAAAUG
This 1780-nucleotide long non-coding RNA is filed under the name Homo sapiens (human). RNAcentral's name for it is "non-protein coding lnc-EPHA7-7:1". The record is from RNAcentral. Lineage: Eukaryota; Metazoa; Chordata; Mammalia; Primates; Hominidae.